This is a long non-coding RNA of Helianthus annuus (common sunflower), 471 nucleotides long. RefSeq lists it as uncharacterized. The record is from RefSeq and is a predicted model, not a curated record. NCBI's taxonomy places the organism in Eukaryota, Viridiplantae, Streptophyta, Magnoliopsida, Asterales, Asteraceae. The transcript has 4 exons.
GCACUUCAUUACUUCUUCUCAGACAUUCACAAUUCAAAAGAAAAAAACUAUGGUUUGUGUUUCUUCUAAGCCGUCGCCCCUCUCCCACCUGCAUCGCCGGCGACGUUACCCCAUUUCGUGUCUUCGGUCAACGAUAGCCUAUCGCCUAUGUGAAAAAACUAUACUUGUCUAUUCCUGGGUUUUUGAGUUCACGUCUUCAUAAGGUAGUAGUGGCUAUGGAAGCAUUUUUCUAGAAGGUUGGUUCUAGCAAAAUACUAAUAUGAAUUGUAGACAAGAGAUUGAUAAUGGAUCUUUACAAGUGCUUAUGGCUGGAUUCGUUUUGAGUUUUUGUGGUUGUUUACAAGAGAUGGAUUAUGGAUGUUCAUGAACUACUUUUAGAUUUAUGUCCAGAUUUGAAUUGUUUUAAAUGAUUGUGGUUGUUUGAAACUUUGGAUUAAUUAAGUUUGAAUGUUUAUUGUUUUUUAUGUUAAA